Molecule: long non-coding RNA, 8022 nt
Organism: Pseudopipra pipra
Lineage: Eukaryota; Metazoa; Chordata; Aves; Passeriformes; Pipridae
Exons: 3
Source: RefSeq, a predicted model, not a curated record
UGCAUGUAUAUAUAUAUUAAUGCAUGUGUGUGUAUAUAUGCACAUAUAUAUAUGUAUAUAUGUGUGUGUGUAUAUAUAUAAAUGGCUGUUGCAAAGGUGCAAAAGACAGAGCAGGGUUAAAUCAGAAUAGUAAUUAAUAACCUUGCCAGUUCCAAGGCAAACUUCUGUGCCAGCAGUGCAUGUAACAGAUAAAUGCUGGAAAGGGUAUUAUACAGUUCCAUGCCUGUGAAAGGCAUCCCCGAGGAAGAGGCUGGGGCAUUACUACACAUUCACUAGAAACCAGAGACUCGGGGCAGCAGAAUUUCCAGACAGUCAUGUGAGGAUGGAGUGCUGCAGCAUCAAGGCAGCCAGUCCACUUGUUUCUGUCUGUUCAUGAUGUUAAAUAAUUGCUGAGGCCUGCAUCACAUUCAGUUACUUCUUAGAGUGGCUUAAUGAUAGGAAACCAGCUUUGUGAGUGAUUCUCUGUGCAAGGGAGUGGAGAUGUUACACGUGUCUGUCUGAUGCUCUGCGAGGAGCACGCAACUGUGGCAGUUCUAACAAAGCAGAUGAAGAAAAUUAAAGGAUCCUUAGAGAGCUGAUCUAUAUUUUUUUUUUUUAUUCUUUGGCAUUUGCGAUGGAGGUGGCUGGCAUAGAGCACAAAAUGAAAUUUACUUUCCCCAAGACAUUCUUCUGGGCUAACAGUAAUUUCACAAAUAAAAUAUUGUAUAAGGAAAGUGCCACAGUGGCCAUGUUUGCAGGCUCAGUGAGAAAGGGCUAAUAUAGAGCAUGCCAGCCAAAAUAGGAUGGGAGAAUCCUGCCUUACUAUCUGAAGUAUUCCUUAAAGAUAACUAGUAAUGGGGUAUCUAGGUGUGUUUAUCUGGGUGUGUGACUCUUUAAUUAGUGUGUAAAAGGUGAAAUGCAAUGGUAAAAGCAGUGGUUUUUCCUUCUUAUUCUACUUUUUAAAAUCUUACUUGUUGUUUUUCCUCCCCUCCUCUGCUUAUUUUUCACCCUUUAAUAACCAAAAUAUCAUGUCUCCAGUUCCUCUUCUUUGAUGAAGGUCAUUUGGAGACCUGAAUAAUGAUGUCAGAUAAAUGUGUAGCUUUUAUAAGGAACAGAAAUUUCACUGCCCGGAGAGGCAGCUGUUUCUAUAGGACAAAAAAAGAUGGAAGAUAUUUAAGGCAGUGAAAAUGAAAAAAGAAUUUAAUUUUACUAUUUUGAUUUAUGGGUAUCCAAAAUGUGACAUCAAGGUUGAGAUUGAUUUCAUGUAACAUUAUUGAUCCACAAGAAAAGCCCUAGUUAUCAAAGCCUUCCUCUAUAGACAAAGGAGAGAGGCAAGGCCAGAGGCUGAUGUCUGUCCUACCUCAUAAAGAAAUUAAUAUUAUUUCUUUGCAUUCAAAGCAAAGGAAUGGAGCUUAGAGACUGAGUUUCAAAGAAAUAUAUGUGUGUAACUUCAGUUAGAAAGGAUCUAUUACAUAUGUCUUGGUUGAGUCAGGGAAUGCAAGUUCUCUCCAAAGUGGAUGUAAGAAUGGUUUCCUCCUCCCCAAAAGGAGAGGUCUGUAAUCAAUCAAGGAUACAGUAAAUUGAAUACAAAUGAGGAAAUGCAGGAUAGGUAUUUCAGAGGAACAGGAAGAAAGGGAUGUAGUAGAGCAGACGUCAAACCUUCCAAAGCUUCAAGGAAGUAUACUCCACAGUAUGAUGUUAUCCACAUUUUUCAAGAUGUACAUUUUCCUUCCAGAAGGGCAGGUCACUUGGCUGGGUUAAUUCUUUAACUUGAUUUGGGGAGCACAGGACAUAGACUUUUAUAAGUCUCAGCUUCUCUGGUAUUUUUCUUGAAGUCCUAGAUCCUGGAGUCAUGUGAUUUAAUAAAAGCUUGGACUUCACAUAAAAAGAAAAAAAAAUGCUCAGUUUUUUUUCUUAGAUUGUGCAGUAAAACUUGAAGAUAGAAACUGUAAAGGUCCCAAAAAGGGAAAAUCAAAUACUAAACCAGAUAUAUAUGAUCCCUUAGCCAGCCUUAUGAUAUCUGAAUGCUCAGAUUUGAACACCAAGUAGGCGUUAAUGUGGUGUUAACAUCAUCCAUUGCCUGCCUUCCAAAACUGUGUUAGCUGUGUUAUAUAUGUAAGGAAAAAAGGAUGUAAUUCUCUGUAUGGCCUUCCUCUUUUCUUCCCCUUCCCCUGUGUAUUCAUAAAUCCACACUUUGCCCUAUAUGUGCAGCUCAAGAGACAUUUAGAGGUACAAUUAUGGUGCAAACAUCACUGGGUCAUUACCACAAAAACACAACAAACCACUUUAGCUAAAGUAUAUGUAUUGCAGGCCUGUGAUGUUAAAAUCAGAUUUCCUUAAAGUGCCUUUGGUUGCAGACAAUGAAAACAGCCUGUAUGGCAGAAGACCACUGAAAAAAACUUCUAAAGAAAGGAUCCAUUUUUACAGUAACAGCAUUUCAUCUGAUGUGCAGACCUUGGUUCAUAACUGAAAGUGAGACAGCCAAGGGAACUAGUAGGAUUAGGUUAUGGGAAUUCAACCAAAUGAUGUUUUGCAUUCAGAUAAUUGCAUGAAAUUGGGCUAUUAGUGUAAGUUUUGCAAAUUGCAAUAACAUAAAACAAAGAAAAAUAUUCCCAGUGUAUACAUUCAACUAAUGUGCUAAAAGGGAACCCCAACUGGUUUCAGACAGAGCACAGAGAACUUCCAUUAACUCUUCAGAGCUGUGUCCAAAUAUUGUUUUCAGCCUUACAGGUUCCUCAAAUGGACUUUAAAAGGGAAACUCUUUUUAUCAAACACUAAGUAAAUAAACAUAAUUUAACAGUGAACUUGUGGUUUUCACUGGCAAGGACACUACUAACAUGUCCUUUAUCUGACCUUAAUUUAACGUUGCAUAAAAUAUGACUGAAAAGAACUGGAGAAGGAAAGAGUUUCGUCUCAAAUUGCAGCUGCUCGCUCCAGUAGCUCUCCUGACCACACGUCAGCAGCAGCUGCGGCUCGUGCCUUUUUAACUUCUUCCAUGGGACAAGAUUACUCUGCCCUGUGGCUUUCCCCUAGCUCAGCAGAAAAGUUAUCAGGAGAGGUGUCCUAAAUCCUCCUUUGUCUUAACUUCUUGGUCUUUACUUUUUGCCCCGCGUUCACUCUUGGGACUCAGCCUCAGUAUUUAGAACGAGCAUUUACAGAGGUCAGUUUUAGAGGCGGCUUUUGGCAAUGCAGCUCCACUCCAGUAAAGUCAUCACAGCAGACAAAUACUGGCCCACCAGGGACUCAGGUUAAUUAUUCUAGUGCUUUGACCUCAGUCUGGGUAAUGCCUGCUGCUGUGGCACCUGAGAAGGAAGACUGCACUUAGUGAUGCUUUUAUCUUUAUUGAAGGCUUGGCUGCUCAGGAGCCUGUGCCAGCCACAUGACUUGCUGGGCUGCUGAGGUGAAUGCCCAUGUCACUAAUGCCUCUGUGGGGUUUAGAGGCAAUUUCACAUUUGCCUGUGUCUUUCCUCCCAUUUUUGAAGGAAGGGAAAUAAUUUUAAUGAUUUCUGUGAUGAACAUAAAAUCUGACAAUAUCAAAUAACCAAUUCAUGUAUCUGUGUCAGUAAUUCAAUCUUGUUCCCAGUGUUUUCCAGCUUAAAAUCCGUAUCAGAGUACAGAAGAAAACACCACAUCAGCAACCUGUAAUGAAUGUUGAAGACAGUGAAAGACAGUUGAGCUGUGAAUAGAGGUACCUUAGUAACACCAGAGCCUUCAGCUCAUUUCUCUGUCACUGAAUUUAGCAGCAGAGUAAGCCUUUCAUGGCAUCUAAUGUUGUUCCCUGAACCCUGCUCUGUGCCCAGUCUACUUAAGCCUUAAAAUUCCAAGGGUUUUGUCGCUGUUCUUGGAGGGUGAUUUCCAUGCUGGUGUAUCCACUGCCAGAAAUUUUAUCCGGAGGUUCUGACUCAGGUUUGCCUUUUUUUGGAUUAAAUUAUUUCUCUUUCAAACAUUGUCCUUAACAAGCUCUUCUCUUUCUUGACGGUUAAGGCUUUUCAAGUGUUUUAUGCCUCUCUAUUAUGUUUGCCUGUCACAAGUCUGUACAAUGGUUUUUUAAAAUUUACUUAGGGCACAGCUGCGCUGUGACACACCAUGGUGCAAAUAUCCCUGAGGCAAAGCUGAAUGAGCCAGCUCCAAAACUGGGAUUUGUACUCUGGCUGUUUAAUAGAGAGAGACAAGGACCAUCUUUUCUGGCUCACUUUGCUCUGUGUCUGUUGAAUUUGAUACAAAGGGGUCUUGGUUUGCAGGCAGGGUUUGUAAGCUCUGCUUUUGGAAAAGAAAAAAAGUAAUGAAAGUAACAAGGAGUUGCACACCCCUCUGACUGCAAUGUUCAAUGCUAGACAAGGGUGUUCAGUGGGGGACAAUGCUGGUUGAAGCAAAUAAUGUGAAACAUGGUUUAGGAAUCACAGAAUUUGGGCCUCAAGUAUAGUAACAUAACGUAAGUUUUUUGCUUUCCAAAGGUUUGGAUGGUGACAUUUCACUGAAAGAUGGGGAAGCAACAUGGGGAGAAAAGGUCUUUAGGGUGACAUAAAGGCAAGAAGACUGCAGGAAGAUGAAUGUGAAUGAAGAAAAAAGAGUAAAGAACAGAAGUAUAUGAAGGAAAAGAGAUCAACGGUUCAGAGACCCACACACCUCUUUAGUGGAGGAACACCAAGCCCAGUUGUUCUGAUGUCGCCUCAGAAGAACUGAAGAGACAGGAAUUUGAGGAAAAAGGUUUUGGCAGGUUGUGAAAGUGAGGGAGCCAGAGGAGGCAAUCAGAGUAACCAUUCUUAGGAGGAGUAGUAUGAAGCUGUAUAUCAGAGACAUUUGUUGCAGACCCAAAGCCAAAGGUCCAGGAACUUAAUUAAAUAGAUAGCCCAAGAUAUUUGCAAGGAGAUAAUGAGCCUUUCAGCAAAACUAGUCAUCUGAGAGCACUGGGAAUAGCCCAGCAAAUUGUCUGAAGGUCUUCACAAAGCCAGGCUAGAAUGCUGCCCUCAAACAUUUUUCUCAAGGGGUAGGUCAGUCAACUGGAAACAUUGACAAAAAUGUAUUUCUUCACAAAUUUCAGCAGCAGCAAAAGAGCAGGAGAAAAAAAACCUGUUGUUUUUUAACACAAAUAUUGUUCACAGAAGAAAAAUAUAUUAGCAGUAUUUCUGGUCAGUGAGUCCCAAACUAGUAAUAACUGAAAGUUAAAUUACUGUGCAGUUGUCUGGAUCCAUUGGAAAUAAUGUUGAUGGUUUCUGAUUCCCUCCAUUGUCUCUGAACCAGGGUUCUGAUGUGCAAUUUUGAGAAUCAUGUUUCUGGAUUUGGGUAUUACAUUUGCCACAAAACACAAGGUGAUUGGAAAGUGCAUCGAGGUUGGCAAGAGGGUCUAAUUUCAGACAUUUUCUCCGGGAAAAGCCUGGGCAACUAGAAGAAGUGAGCACUUCCACAGAGGGCCUUUUGAGGACGCUCUUGUUUCUGUCAUUGCAAUGUGGAUGCAGGUUUUCACUGCUGAGGUUUCAGCUUCCAAAUGCCCCUCUGUGUGUGUGUGUGUGUACUCACUUGAGAGGUUCCUAUCUACAAUGUUGUGCAGGUUUCCCCCCCCUUGCAUCCUUCACAAAGCAAACUCUCAGUUUCCAGGUGAAGCCUGUCAUCAUAAAUCUAAUCAUACUUUACACAGCCUUUGAUUUUUUUGCAUCCUCAGCCUUGACCCAGUAAUAAAUCAGAGUAGCCGUCGCUGUAGUGGAAAGCACAGUAAUGUCAAAAGCUUCCUGGUGUAUGUGCAAUGGGAAGUCAUUCAGCAGUGAAAAACAACAGAGAGAAAGUGGUAAGGAUGCACUGACACAGCCGGAAGAAGUCCUGAGGAAUGCACAAACAGAAGUACAGGCUUGAAGCUGUAACCAAAAGAACAUGUCUUUUGUUACAAUUCCUGCUGUACAGAGGAAAACAGGACCUUCUUGUAAAUGAGAAGUACACUGAAGAAAUAGCUGAAGGCUACAUAAAUGGAAGAUGGAGAAAAACCCUGUAGUUGGUCUUAAAUUGGUGGGAAUCAGCUACCACAAAGAUAAUUCAUAUGGAUAACUCCUAUCCUGGUUCAAGACAAAUGGACAAAGUAAAUGUCAGCCAGAUUGACACAAACAGUGUAGCUUUCCAGGAAAAAUGGGGACUAGAAAGAAUGCAGAAACUCAAAGAAUCUAAACAACAGUACAAAGAUACUAAAGUUAAUGUAAUUGCUAAGAGGAGUAGGAGCCACAGCUGCAAAAGCAUUGCCCUGAAUAUGGCUCCAGUGAAAGAGGAGGCUAAGCAGGACAGAGGAUCAUAUGAGAGUAGGGAAAUUCUUUCACACCUUCUGGGAGACAACAGACUAAAGCAGAGGGUGAACUGUAGCAUAACAGGUAGCUGCCUCACAGUUCCUCUUUCAAUGCCAGUUGUUAUUUAACAAUGGAACUUUUAUUUAGAGGUGUCUGGUGGAAUGUGUAAAAUUGCAGGGGAGUAGAGAAUAUGUGAUCGAAUGUGACAGUUCUUAAAUUUGCCCUGGAAGUGGGGAAGUAACAUAAAUACCAGUUUGGUCUCAAAAGACACAGAAACUAGGGAACAAGAACCCAAACACAAGACAGGAUUAUUUUCGUGAACUGAACUCUGGGAACUGGAGCAGGAAAUCGUGUUAGCUGAGACAGUGAAUGAGUUAGCAGUUACAGCAUAUUUCAUUACGGAUAACAUCUCAGAAAUGUGAGAGAAGUUGUCUCACACUUUAGUCUGGGAAGUUACCUUUGGAUCUUGGUGAAACAAAUUACAUGCAAUCUGAAGUGUACUACAGGCAGCCUUAUGUGCUCUGUUACUAAAAGCAUUGUUAGGAUGACGAAAUGUGGUAUCUUUCAAUGAAGAUGAUAGGGUCUGAAGUAUGUUGUGUAAUUAAGUAUUUCAAGGGUCCUAACUGCCAAAGCUCCCACUGAAUCUGAAGCAGGGAUGGAUUCCCGUUCACUUGCUGAACACUUCUGAGGGCUAGCUUAUUAAAAGAAAAAGAAAACCACAUUUUGCAAAGAGAAAGAGUAUGUGCCUUGCAAACAUACAUGCCAAACAUACAUGCACACUGAUGCUUACAAUGAAGGCAUACUGGAGUAACAUGGGGGGGGUUGAGAUUUUGGUGGCUAUUGUUUAGCCUGCACUGCAGAUCUGCAGAAGAGGUUGGGAAGGGCAAGAGAAACUGAGGGAGAUGGCAGCAAGGAAGAACCUGACAUGGCAUGUAUCCACAAAUGGUGGGUAGGUAAUCAUAAAAAAAGGCUAGAGUGCUCUUUUGAGCUGAACUGUUUUCAGGGACUGGCAACUAGCAAAGAAAAAAAGCUGUGUCCUAAUGGGUUCUGGUUUUAGUAAAUUAAAAGGAACAUCAAAGACAUUCUUCUCUCUAUCAGCAAUGUAAUGCAGCAGAAACAAUCCUCAGGCCUUGAUUUUUCUUCUUAUUUGCUCAGAUAAAAAAAAAAAGUGCGUGUUAUGCAAGUAUUUCUGCAUUCAGUUUUCUGCUAGAUGUUUCAAAAACCAUGGGGUGAGGUUUUUUUGUCCUACUGUAGUCUUCUUCUUGCAAUGUUUAACAUCUUUUCAUGGGAUUUUAUAGCUUAGGUUUUUAGUUUACCUUUAAGAUAUGGGUUCUAAACACCCAUAAAAUGUUCUGUAAAACAUUGCUCCACUGUACAAAAUGAAAGAAAAUUAUAUUGUACUGACUGAGACUUUUAGAAUGUGCUAGAAGGCCUGAAAUACUCAUCAGAGUGAUUGCCUUUGAUAAAAGAGAGGGAAUCCAUGGACUUUUUAACCCUGAAAAUGUCUAACCUAAAAUCAGUUGGGGUUUCUUUGAGAUUUCAUGCCCUCCCCUUACUCACUGUGUCUAUACUGAGCCACAGCUUCAGCUGAUGUGAUUUCAGCUUUGCUUGUUUCCACUGCCAAGGACUGGCCAUGCUUUAUUUUCCUUUGCUGUCUGAGUGAUACUAUGCUGUGAUGUCCAGCUAAAACUUAUUGCUUUAUUUCUCUAUGUCAGCAAAAUGAAUCAUUUGCUCUUUCCAUACAUCUCUGGGAGUAACUUGUUUCUGUUGCAACUGA